RNAcentral lists this ribosomal RNA (409 nucleotides) under uncultured bacterium. RNAcentral's name for it is "bacterial SSU rRNA". It matches the Rfam family "Bacterial small subunit ribosomal RNA", at positions 350 to 751 of the family's 1533-position model. The record is from RNAcentral.
AGCAGUGGGGAAUAUUGGACAAUGGGCGAAAGCCUGAUCCAGCCAUGCCGCGUGUGUGAAGAAGGUCUUCGGAUUGUAAAGCACUUUAAGUUGGGAGGAAGGGCAGUAAAUUAAUACUUUGCUGUUUUGACGUUACCGACAGAAUAAGCACCGGCUAACUCUGUGCCAGCAGCCGCGGUAAUACAGAGGGUGCAAGCGUUAAUCGGAAUUACUGGGCGUAAAGCGCGCGUAGGUGGUUCGUUAAGUUGGAUGUGAAAUCCCCGGGCUCAACCUGGGAACUGCAUUCAAAACUGUCGAGCUAGAGUAUGGUAGAGGGUGGUGGAAUUUCCUGUGUAGCGGUGAAAUGCGUAGAUAUAGGAAGGAACACCAGUGGCGAAGGCGACCACCUGGACUGAUACUGACACUGAGG